Molecule: ribosomal RNA, 497 nt
Filed under: uncultured bacterium
Lineage: Bacteria
Description: bacterial SSU rRNA
Rfam family: Bacterial small subunit ribosomal RNA
Source: RNAcentral
AUGGCUCAGGAUGAACGCUGGCGGCGUGCUUAACACAUGCAAGUCGAACGAGGCACCUUGCAGAAGUUUCGGAUGGAAGCGGAGGCGACCGAGUGGCGGACGGGUGAGUAACGCGUGGGAACCUGCCCCAUUCCGGGGGAUACCAGUUGGAAACGACUGUUAAUACCGCAUAAGCGCACGGAAGGACAUCCUUUUGUGUGAAAAACUGAGGUGGAAUGGGAUGGCCCCGCGUCUGAUUAGCCAGUUGGCAGGGUAACGGCCUACCAAAGCGACGAUCAGUAGCCGGCCUGAGAGGGCGACCGGCCACAUUGGGACUGAGACACGGCCCAAACUCCUACGGGAGGCAGCAGUGGGGAAUAUUGCACAAUGGGGGAAACCCUGAUGCAGCGACGCCCGCGUGAGUGAAGAAGUAUUUCGGUAUGUAAAGCUCUAUCAGCAGGGAAGAAGAUGACGGUACCUGCACAAGAAGCCCCGGCUAACUACGUGCCAGCAGCAGC